RNAcentral lists this long non-coding RNA (701 nucleotides) under Monodelphis domestica (gray short-tailed opossum). RNAcentral describes it as "lncRNA (ENSMODG00000031707.2)". Lineage: Eukaryota; Metazoa; Chordata; Mammalia; Didelphimorphia; Didelphidae. The record is from RNAcentral.
CUGGUUCUCUGAGUAGCGACCCAAUUUCUCCUUCAUCUGGGCUAGAUCAGUCAUAGAAAACGGAACAUGUACCCGAGCCAGCCCAUCUGACGAGGGGACCUCUCUCAUAGGGAGGAGGGGAGCCCUGUCUCCAUAGCUCAGUCCGCUCCCGAAUGGCCUAUUCCACACUGAAGAGUCAACAGCUGUGCGUCCACAGAGAUUGCCCGACCAAGAGCACUCAGUUGUAACACUGAGAGUCAUUGGAGUUCAGAAGCAAGGCAAAAGCCAAGAUGACUUCUGGUGAUUCAAGAUGCAGUGAAUGGCCUUGGCUUCUGUGGUGUCUAAACAAGAUCUAAGUGUUUGCUCUACAGCACUUGAUUCUGCCACCUUCAGGGAAGUUGGAACAAUAUUCUCAUUUGCCCUUUCCACAAGGGUCAGUCUUUAUAUGACUGGGAUAGAUAUUCUCCUAAAUGAUGGAUGUGUCUGAGGCCCGUCAGUUACUGUCAAUCUGGUUUAGCCUACAUGAUGAGGUGGUUUAUUGGAGUGUGGCUACUGCACAUACUACAGCUUCUUGGAAUCACAGCUAUUCAUCCAACGAUGUUAUGCUUCAUGGAUGGGAGGUACGGAAUAUCACAUUCUCUGAAGAAUCAAAACUUUGGGUGAUCCAACAGGCCACUGAACAUCAACAAAAGUUGGGCCCAUCAUACAACAAAAUGUCCUAA